Molecule: long non-coding RNA, 4432 nt
Organism: Gasterosteus aculeatus aculeatus (three-spined stickleback)
Lineage: Eukaryota; Metazoa; Chordata; Actinopteri; Perciformes; Gasterosteidae
Source: Ensembl
CCCACUGCUUAAAAUAACUGUGCUUAGCUUCAAAUCGCAUACACAUACUUCUUAUUAAUGGACCAAGAGAUAUGAUUUGGCUUGGUAGAUGUAACAUGUAAUGUUGCUUGGGUAUUACAUUGGCUUCAGAGAAAAGUUCUUUGAAAUGAUGCAGAUGUUGCUCAAUCAUGCGUCUGAGCCGUAAUACGGUUUCUAAAGAAAUAACAGGAGCAAGGACAAUUUGAACAAUCUCAAUUAACUUGAGAAUAAAUUUGACAUACUCGUUGUCCAUACCGUUCAAAAGAAAAGGUAGGAUUUUUAAAAGUAUCAACAUUUGUCCACAUGACUGCUUUAAUUUAUUGUCAUUAGCAGCAAGUACUGACACUAAUAGGACAUGGCUUAUCUCUUAUGUCUAGAGGUGAGUAAGGAAAAUUUAGAAUAGCUGAGUUAAUCUCAUCUAAUUCUAUCUGUCCUGACAGAAUCAGGUUUUUUAAUACAAGCUUUAUUUCCAUUGGUGCAACACCUUCAAAAAUUACAUGCAUUAUAUCCUGUGGUGUUUGUUUGAUCAGAUCAAAUGCUGGAACAUCAACUAGUCUGCUUCUUCUGUUAAUCCCAUAAGUGGUUUUGAGGGAUGCUUUCAAUGUUUCUGUGCUUGCCUUAUCUAUUUCAACACACUGCCUAAUGUGCUUUUCCAAAGUUCUUUCAGCAAACCUAUUCUCCUCAAAAAUACUUUGCAUAUCCUCAAAGGAGCAUUCACAAUGUCUACAUUUGCUAUAAGCAAAACCAACACCUUGUUUAAAUCCAGCAAUAUCAUGUUGGGCAAGUGUGUCUCCACAUAUGGCGAUCACAGCACCAAACAACUCAAUUUCACCAUUUGGGGUGUCAAUCCUAACACCAUUGUACAGAAGUGUCAGAUCUUUUUGGAUUCUUUUUAGUAUAACAUCAACACCCCACUGAGAAAUAUUGUUUGCCUUGGCAAUAGCCAGGAGUCUUAUUGCAGCCAACUUCGACCUAAAUUUUGGAUCUAUAUUCCCUAAACUAUAAUAAAACCUCAGUAAUUUAUUUGCAGAGGCAUGGGCGCCUAAAGGGUUACAUAUUUCAAUUUCAUCGGUGUACAAUAGUAUUUGCAAUGCAUUUGGCCUUUGAGAAUAUAAUGGAUGGGAUGUAAAAAGGGCUCCAUCAGUAAAAUCAUACAAGAAUCCCUCACUUCUUUGUGGUACAGUGGUUAAGUACAUGGUGAAGAUUCUGGGAUUGGUCAGUAACUGCUUAAGACUUUGAAUGAGUGGUACAUAGUAAAAACUUUUGCCUCUUAAGGCCAUGACCCUUGAAAGACCACGCUUUACCCAACAAAUCUUCUGGGACACCACAACUUCCUCUGGGUUGACUGGAUUGAAUAGUUCCCGGAUGGUUUUAUUCUGUCCAUAUGCUGUGGUUGAGAAAGGAUCCAUGAACGCAUCAAACGUAGCCAAAGCCUCCCCUUGGAGCUGAGCAGUUGUGUCUGGAUUCUCUUCAAACACCCUUCUGAUUCUCUCCCUUAGUGUGUCAAUGAGAGCAGCUUGGUACUGUUGCACCCCUGAGAUGACACUGUUGACAGUUCUCUGGGAAAAUAUUUAAAAUGUAAAUAAUUUUGUCACCCAUAUAAUUCACAGGCCCAUAUUUUACAUUAGAAUAAUUUAAAUUAAUUGUACCAUUAAAGCAUUUGCCCAUGAAGAUAAAUUUACCUGUGAUAACUGGCACUGUUCCCGGACACUGAUGGCGAAUGCCGCUGCGGAUCUAGCUAUAUCAGGUCUGGUUCUGGAGGUCACAGCAACAGCGUCUUCCUUUAUAAAAUGAGUUGUAAUUUUUUAAGAGCGAGUAGAUGGACACAGUCAAAGUUGCAAUUGAUUUGAAAGGAAAUGGACAUUUUUGAGGAGAUGCCCGAGAGGGGAAAGACUUCAUUUUAAUCCCGUAUUCGCAGCUCUAUCGUCUAAGGUAAGAGGAAUUAAAUGUUUUUUUUAAUGUUUAAUCUUAGCAUUCAAUGGAGAUAAUACCUAUGAAAGAGAAAGUGUGCAUAGGCUACUCAAAUCAUGCAUGAUUAACGCGCACACUCGCAGUGUGGAUUCAAUGAGGCCCAUAUUUAAAUAUAUCGUUAUAUGUAGGACAAAAAUAUUAAAUUACAUAACAAGUCAGCAUCACACAGAGAGCAACCUAAUUGGCACGAUAAGAUUGAAAAUAAAUUGAAUUGUGGAAACUUACGGACUCAAGGCGGCCGUCAGCUUCAGGCUGUGGUGACGGUUCAGGUAAAGAGGCAUCAGGUGGGACAGCCGUAGUGCUGGCCGCUGCAGGAGUGCUACAGCUGGAAAACACCGAAACACCAAAUGUUUCCUGUCCCAAAGACCGAGAAGAAGGCGUCGUACUCCAUCCGCUUGGUGGGCAUCCAGUCCUCAAAUACUGAAGGUGCGUCCGUUUAAUGUGGCGAAAGAAAGAGUUAAAAACUCUAAAGUCCUGUUCACAUCCAUCAAUACCACAGUAAACCCCAAAAUCCGGGCUGCGACUGUGACUUUUAUUAAUGUGGCUAAGGAGUACUUUAAGACUUAAAGCAACAAAGACGAAACAUAUCAUACACCUCCACGCCGCCAUGAUGCACCGUUGUUGUCGCGGGCUAAUGAUCCAGAGGUGGAUGGGGAGGGGGGCACUCAUGAAAUAAUUUGUUAUUAUUUUAACAAUACAUUCCUCUAAUUAUAAAUGCGACUUAAUUAAUUUUACGAUGGUAAGUUUUUAAAAAAUAAUAUUUUGCUAACAUGUUCAUGUUUACGUCCGAUCAUUUCUGCGCAUCCUCAGUUCAUGUCCUCCAACGGUCCCACCUCAAUGACGUCAGUGUUCGCGGUUCACCGCUUGAGUAACUGAAAGAUUUGGGUGCGUUACAUUUGACGAAGAAGUGCAAGAAGAGCGGCUCAAUUUCUACGGUACCGCCUGUUAAUGCUUCAGGGAGCUGAUGAAUCUAAGAUGGAUACUUUUGACGAUGCCACUCUAUCGGUGUUGGAGGGUGCCAGUGUUGAUGAGGAGGCUUUGAAAGGCCUUAGCCGGGAUGACCUGAGGGAUCUUUUUCCUGGCCCAGAGAAUUUCCUCAAAAGAAAGAAACUUUGGAAUUUCAUCAGUGAAAAUUGUGAAAAUACCACGGACCAAGAUGCCAACAAUUGUGCCAUGCCACCAUGCCAGCCUCAAACCUCAACCCCCAUAUCUGCUGAGAAAAAAAUGAAAAUGCCAGACCCUCCAGAGUAUGUGGUGUACACAGAUUCAGAGUUAGACAUGGUGCGUAGUCAAUACUUUGCACUGCUCUGCAAUGGAAAGGAAAAAAAUUACAAACUGUCCAAGGAGCUAUGUUGCAGACUUGUAAGGAACACAAUAACCAGUAUGGUUGCUAUCCUGCGUGCUAGUCCCAUGGGGAAAGAAGUCAGUUACCCGUCAAAAUUGGAAAUAAGAGCCAUGUCACAGAAGAUUAUAGACUAUUACCCAAUGUUACGGGAUGAUGAUCCAAACAUGCCUUAUCUGACUAUCUACACCAAAAUGUACAAGCGACUCCAAAAUAUGAGAUCCCCACGGAAGAGGCAAGGCUCUGUACCACAAAGAGGAGUGGCAAAGACAGCUCUCUUCAGUGCAGACAACCAAGACAUGGAGACGGAUUGGACAGACACAAGCAACUCAAGUGAUAAUACCUUACUUCUUGAGAGCAAUGAUGACCUUACCGAGGACAACUCCAGUGAAGCAUUCCCAGCACAUCGACCCCCCUCUGUGCCAAGGAAGCCAAAGACCAAAACCUUCCUGCUGCCAUCCGCAUCAGCCUCAGGCUCCUCACUCAGGACUGUGAUCGCUUCACCAACCACGCCUGCAAAGGAUGAUGUUGGCAAUGGAUGAGCUGCGGUGCAUAGUAGGUGGCACCAACAGCAGAUACAUCGAGGAAGUGAAAGGAAGAUGGGCAGACUUUUGUGCCAAGGUGCAGUUCUAUGGUGUGUGGAAGAAAGCCCUGAAACCCCCCUUUCCAUUGGAUGUCCGUGGAGUGGAGUUCACGCUUGCCCUCUUCAAUGCACUCCCAUCCCUUUUCCCCUCACCAACUUCACCACCAAAGAAGCUUGGAAAUAGCUGUGAGGCACUUCUUCAUGUCCUGAAGUCAGGCGAAGACCCUGCCCUGUACCUGGAAAAGCAUCCUCUCUCCUCCCCAGUUCUGCUUUCUGAUGGCUCAACCACCAUUGUGGCUGUGGGUAAUGUACCUGUGACCACCCUCCCUCAGGAAGAUUUCUCAGACGGGAUGUUGGUGUUAAUGGCAUAUUACUACACUUUGCACUUAAGAUAUCCAAAAUGUGUUGCAACGCUCCUGUCAGUUAUUCAAACAGAGGUAAUUGGUGACACAAUCCACGAUCAAGAUGCCACUAGUGCUUACAGGAAAGCAAUGGCUGAUUGGAAGUCUUUCAUUGAG